AGCGAACGCUGGCGGCAUGCCUAACACAUGCAAGUCGAACGAGACCUUCGGGUCUAGUGGCGUACGGGUGCGUAACGCGUGGGAACCUGCCCUUAGGUUCGGAAUAACUCCCCGAAAGGGGUGCUAAUACCGGAUAAUGUCUUCGGACCAAAGAUUUAUCGCCUUUGGAUGGGCCCGCGUUGGAUUAGCUAGUUGGUAGGGUAAAAGCCUACCAAGGCGACGAUCCAUAGCUGGUCUGAGAGGAUGAUCAGCCACACUGGGACUGAGACACGGCCCAGACUCCUACGGGAGGCAGCAGUGGGGAAUAUUGGACAAUGGGCGAAAGCCUGAUCCAGCAAUGCCGCGUGAGUGAUGAAGGCCUUAGGGUUGUAAAGCUCUUUUACCCGGGAUGAUAAUGACAGUACCGGGAGAAUAAGCUCCGGCUAACUCCGUG
This 433-nucleotide ribosomal RNA is filed under the name uncultured bacterium. RNAcentral's name for it is "partial 16S ribosomal RNA". It matches the Rfam family "Bacterial small subunit ribosomal RNA", at positions 29 to 507 of the family's 1533-position model. The record is from RNAcentral.